AGAAACCCUUUUUAAGGAGGUAUCUAUGAUCCCUGGUCAUCCCUCUUUGGGAAUAUGGCUUCGUGGAAUGAGCUCUGACCUGGGAGUUGCUUUGGUUCUGCUUUUACCUGGACGUGAGCUCUCCAGGUGGAGACUUUGUCUCAUGGGUUCAGUUCCAGAACAUGCUGGUGGAAUCCCACAUCUUAUGCUCAAUCCUGUGCUCUGAGCUUCAGGCCCACACAUCCCACAUCCUACCAGACAGUGUCCUCUGGACAUCCCACGAAUACCUCCCCUAAAGCAUCCAAAGUUCAUUGCUCAUCCUCUGUAACUCCCGCCUCCUACCCAUUUCCCUGGUCCUGGGUAGUGAUCUCUAUCCAUCCAACAACCAAGACAGGAACCCUGAGCUCCAUCCAUCCCUUCUCACAUCUAACCAGUCACUAUGCCCUUCAGUUCUGUCUCAGAAUUGUCUCUGAAUACAAUGCUCAGCCUUCAUCCUUCCCACUCAUCCUGCAGCUGCAGAGUCCAGCCCACACUGCAUCUCACCUGGACUAUGAGAUGGCUUCCAGUGGACCCUCCCUCUCCACCCCCUUACCGCAGACAGACCCAGGCUCCUCCUUCUUGUGACCCAAGUCCAGGUAAGGGAGAAAAACACUGUGAGAGCUACUGAUUAGCUGUGUUUCCUGAUGUCUGGGGCACAUUAUUUCCCUACCCUAGGUCCUUUGAGCCUUCAUCUACAAAGUAAAGGCAUUGGAUAAACUAAACUCUUCUAGAAACUCUUGCCUAUUCCAAGAUUCUGUGAUUCUUCUGAGGAAACUUCUGCAGAGGAAAAGCGUAUCUGACCAUAAGCUUCAGGAAGCCUCCUGCCAUCUGAAGGAGGAAAAUCACUAAUGUCUUCUCAGUGCAAAUUAAUGUCAUUGAUCCCAAUCCAGUCCAGUUCAGCAGGAAGAAAUACAUUUGGGAAGAAAAAGAGUGUGCUGGAAAUAAAAGGUUGGAAGGAUUCCCUUUGGGAACAGCUGAUCUUUCAGAGACAUGGCAGUGAACACCCAGAGGCCUCUGUAGACAUCAAAGAGCUCUACUUUUCGGGGUUAGGUAAGUGGAGUCAACACCCACUCUAAGAAUGUGGAGCUGGUCAGGAGCCCCAGGCUGUGGGGUUGCCUCUGCUGUGUGACCUGUGAUGACUUCCAGGCUGCUCCCUACAGGGACUAUGAGAUGGUACAGAACUCUCUCUGGAAUCCAAGACCUUCCUGCUGUAAAGGAGCAUUUUUCCUGUAGGGGGCAGAAAUCGGCCUCCAUCACGGGCUUAGUUCCCAGGAUCUGACUGGUAUCAGUGAGGACAUCCUAAUAACCAGUCUCUACUUGAGGGAGGAAGGGAGUGCGCGCUCGGUUCCUGGAGGUGUUCUGGCAGAGACCCGCGAAGGGAGUGCGGGCAAACUUGUCAGGUAGGAGGCUUGAGGCUGCAACUGACAGAACCAAAGACGAAACGUUGCUUUAACAGUAAUGAAUUUGUUAUCUAUCGUAAUAAGAAGUCCUGUUACCUAAUAAAAUUGGGUAGAUGACGUGGCACAUCAAGGAUGUCAGGGCUCUGGGACAGCGACUCUGGGGUACUCUUGAGUUUCCUCUCAUGGUCCAGCCACAGUUGGGAGUACCAUCUCCUCAUACACAUACCCCCAAAUACAGGAAGGAGCAAGUACUGAGUUUCUUUUUACAAAUGAAGGAAACAUUCCCAGAAGCCCUCACAGGCUUCCUUUUAUACCUCACUGGCCAGAGUGGAGUCGCAUUGGUGUGCCUCCUCCAGUCACCAGCAAAGAGAGAGGAAUUAGUUUCAUUAGCUUAAAUCGGUCAAUGAGUGUGGGGAAUACCCAUGAAACACCUGGGCACUCAGUACCUGAACAAAAUUGGGGUGCUGUCAGCAAGGAAGAAGGGGGCGUCGCUGGGCAGGCCACGGACACAGUCUGCCGUAGCAGGGGUUUUUGACCAGACAACUCCUGAGCUGGAUGCCAGCUCUUUGAUUCUAUUUCCAGAGUUCUUUCCAGUUUGAGAAUCUUAGUUUUUAUAAGUUGCCACUUCUUUUUUUUUUAAUUGCUUUUCUGACUUUCUUAUGGCCCAGUUUCCCUACCCCACUCCCUGUCUUGGAGGUUGCAAUUAGGCCCUGGUGACACACUUGGCACGGGAAGGCUGUGAACACAGCCCUGACGAGCUGGGUGUGGGCCCAGACAGUAAACGCAGCAGUUAAUUGUUUUCUUCUCUCCCUCA
Molecule: non-coding RNA, 2232 nt
Organism: Vicugna pacos (alpaca)
Lineage: Eukaryota; Metazoa; Chordata; Mammalia; Artiodactyla; Camelidae
Source: RefSeq, a predicted model, not a curated record